CCUGACCCUAGAGGUGUUGCAGGUCUGUCUGCUGUGUCACAUGUGUUUCAGUAUGCGGCAGAGAGGAUAGAGGCUAUGUCUAUGCUCUGUUUAGGCAUAUGAACAUUUGAAUGAUUACUAUUCUAACAUU
Small nucleolar RNA from Grammomys surdaster, 130 nucleotides. RefSeq annotates it as small nucleolar RNA SNORA17. Lineage: Eukaryota; Metazoa; Chordata; Mammalia; Rodentia; Muridae. The record is from RefSeq and is a predicted model, not a curated record. The transcript has a single exon.